This 370-nucleotide unclassified non-coding RNA is filed under the name uncultured Actinomycetes bacterium. Its description in RNAcentral is "uncultured actinobacterium contains 16S-23S intergenic spacer region". The record is from RNAcentral. Lineage: Bacteria; Bacillati; Actinomycetota; Actinomycetes.
UCCGGGUUGGUCCCGGCGGUCCCGCUAGACACCGUAACAUGCGACAAGGGUUGCGCUCGUUGCGGGACUUAACCCAACAUCUCACGACACGAGCUGACGACAGCCAUGCACCACCUGUCAUGGGCCCUUUCGGACACCGUAUCUCUACGACUUUCACCGGUUUCACCCUGCAUGUCAAGCCCUGGUAAGGUUCUUCGCGUUGCGUCGAAUUAAGCCACAUGCUCCGCCGCUUGUGCGGGUCCCCGUCAAUUCCUUUGAGUUUUAGCCUUGCGGCCGUACUCCCCAGGCGGGGUGCUUAAUGCGUUUGCGACGGCACGGAAGGGGUUGAUGCCUCCCACACCUAGCACCCAACGUUUACGGCUGGGACUAC